CUACGGGAGGCAGCAGUAGGGAAUCUUCGGCAAUGGACGGAAGUCUGACCGAGCAACGCCGCGUGAGUGAUGAAGGUUUUCGGAUCGUAAAGCUCUGUUGUUAGGGAAGAACAAGUGCGAGAGUAACUGCUCGCACCUUGACGGUACCUAACCAGAAAGCCACGGCUAACUACGUGCCAGCAGCCGCGGUAAUACGUAGGUGGCAAGCGUUGUCCGGAAUUAUUGGGCGUAAAGGGCUCGCAGGCGGUUUCUUAAGUCUGAUGUGAAAGCCCCCGGCUCAGCCGGGGAGGGUCAUUGGAAACUGGGAAACUUGAGUGCAGAAGAGGAGAGUGGAAUUCCACGUGUAGCGGUGAAAUGCGUAGAGAUGUGGAGGAACACCAGUGGCGAAGGCGACUCUCUGGUCUGUAACUGACGCUGAGGAGCGAAAGCGUGGGGAGCGAACAGGAUUAGAUACCCUGGUAGUCCACGCCGUAAACGAUGAGUGCUAAGUGUUAGGGGGUUUCCGCCCCUUAGUGCUGCAGCUAACGCAUUAAGCACUCCGCCUGGGGAGUACGACCGCAAGGUUGAAACUCAAAGGAAUUGACG
Molecule: ribosomal RNA, 585 nt
Filed under: uncultured bacterium
Lineage: Bacteria
Description: bacterial SSU rRNA
Rfam family: Bacterial small subunit ribosomal RNA
Source: RNAcentral